This 457-nucleotide ribosomal RNA is filed under the name Acanthamoeba sp. Its description in RNAcentral is "SSU rRNA". It matches the Rfam family "Eukaryotic small subunit ribosomal RNA", at positions 740 to 1095 of the family's 1831-position model. RNAcentral also lists the same sequence under 2 other names. Lineage: Eukaryota; Discosea; Longamoebia; Acanthamoebidae. The record is from RNAcentral.
GGCCCAGAUCGUUUACCGUGAAAAAAUUAGAGUGUUCAAAGCAGGCAGAUCCAAUUUUCUGCCACCGAAUACAUUAGCAUGGGAUAAUGGAAUAGGACCCUGUCCUCCUAUUUUCAGUUGGUUUUGGCAGCGCGAGGACUAGGGUAAUGAUUAAUAGGGAUAGUUGGGGGCAUUAAUAUUUAAUUGUCAGAGGUGAAAUUCUUGGAUUUAUGAAAGAUUAACUUCUGCGAAAGCAUCUGCCAAGGAUGUUUUCAUUAAUCAAGAACGAAAGUUAGGGGAUCGAAGACGAUCAGAUACCGUCGUAGUCUUAACCAUAAACGAUGCCGACCAGCGAUUAGGAGACGUUGAAUACAAAACACCACCAUCGGUGCGGUCGUCCUUGGCGUCGGUUUCGGCCGGCGCGGGGGCGGCUUAGCCCGGUGGCACCGGUGAAUGACUCCCCUAGCAGCUUGUGAGA